Molecule: long non-coding RNA, 8235 nt
Filed under: Ananas comosus (pineapple)
Lineage: Eukaryota; Viridiplantae; Streptophyta; Magnoliopsida; Poales; Bromeliaceae
Description: long non-coding RNA (ACOM_LNC013673)
Source: RNAcentral
AGCACCCUUUUAGGUUAUAGCGACACUCUUUAACUGUCACUAUAUACCUAGCGACCCCACAUAUAGCAACACUUUUUAAAAAUAUCGGUAAUUUUAGCUAGCAGCACUUUUUUGACAUGUACCUACAUUUAAAAGUAUCGCUAUAGACCGUUUUUGUUGUAGUGUUCUUUGGUUUACAUGCUACUACUUAGGAAAUCAUCAUCUAUUCCUAACUUCAUGUCAUAGUGUUUCUACUACACUAGUCCAAAUGCCACUCAUUGAGUUCAUUUACAUGUCCAAGUUCAUCUUUUGUUCUUUGGCACUAUAGAAUUCCAUGUCAAGACCCAAUCCGCAUGUGUCCACUAAAUCAAGUGCUCAACUCACUAUAUGAUUUCUACGAUGGAAACAUGCAAGGAAUUGAAGUGCAAUUUACUUAACAUAACCUAUAAUGCAUGCUAACAAUACAUGAACAUAUGCUAUAAUAAAAUAACUUAGGCAUAGGAAGAAGUUCAACUACUUCGGGAUGGACACCCCCCACCUUCUAGUAAUGCCUCGAAGCUAGGUUCCGACUUUCGUAAUUUUCCGCCGCCAAUCUCUCUCGACUGCGGCAAAUGAAGCCAAAAACAAGCUUUUCUUUAAUAUCUUCGCGCCGACUCUUCGGAUCGCCGAACUGAGUUCACCAACGCGUUCGAUUAUCUAGCAGAUAUGUAUAAAAGAGAUCAAUCCCUACUUUAGAUCUUAGCUUUAACAAACACCCUUUCUAACCCUAGAUGUUCAACUUUGCAAAAAUACCCCACGCGGAGCCUCGAUUCAAGCGAAUAACAUCUACUUAGCAUCAAAGGGUUCUACUACAACCAUUUCUAGAGCUUAAAACACAAACCCUAGAAAUCUACCAUUAAAGCUCCAAGAGCUUACCUCAAAACCUUCCUCUCUAAGCAAAGGAAGAAGAAGAAGACGAAAUUUCACUUUUUUGCUUCAAUCUCCACCAAUCCUUCUACUUAGAUCCACCUUGGGAGAGCUUCUAGAGAGAGAAAAUGAGAAAAAGAGAUAAGGAGGAGUGUUCUCUGGCUGUGAACACAAGAGAGGGCGAUGGGGUUUAUUUAUAGGCUGCCACAAUUGCAUAAAAGCCUCUCAACACUUGCUAUUUGCAACAUACUGCAUUCUGCAGUUUUCAGCACCUAGUACCGGUACGCCUUGAUUAGUCAACGGUUAACUAGCUUCGCAGAGGCCAAACCCGAGAGUUGCUACUCUCGGGUUGCUAUGGGGUACCGGUACUACAUGAUUUAGUCACCGGUUAACAAUGCUCCAGAAUGCAGUUUUGCAUCGUUUCGACUCUAUUUCGCGCCGAGCAACGCUAAAGCCUUUCUAACUCACUUGGAGUUCAACUUUAACCCUUCAAACAUUAUUGGAAUGUCAAAUGGAACAUGUCCAAAUAUCUCUCUCACCACGCUUUGAUCCUUUUGACCAAAAGUGGUUUAAUAGGAUGGGGAAAUCAAUAUCUUACAACAUAGGUGGUGAGUUGGUAGGAAAAAUAAAAAAAUGGUCAACUGUUUAUUGCUUUCUGAAAACGACAAACAGGUCGCUGCUUUUCUUCAGAAAUUUUCAUAAACUCAUGACAAUGGUAAAUAAAUUACCAUAUUCUACAUGCAGUUUUUCAUCCACCGCCUUUAAGCUUCUAGCACCUACUUUUUGAAGCUUCCAUCAAUUCACAACCAUAAAUUUUCCUAAGUGAUGGUAGGUACAGUAUGAAGAAUGCAGUGAAUGAUUCAUCAUUUAUAAAAAGGGUGAACCUUGUAGUGACUGAUUCAUCAUUUAUAAAAGGAGUUAAUCGUGUUACGGAUUUUAUAUUGGCAUAUUUUGUGAAAUGAGUCGGAGUCUUGAACGUUCGAGAAAGAAAAGAUGAAGUUAGAAGACUCGAAGACUCAAAACAUAAAUCCACAAUACUUGGUAAGUUUAAAUAUUAUUGAUAAUGAUUUAUGAUCAUAUACAUAUGUUCGGAAGACAUUAGAAUAGGUAUAAAUUGAUAAAUAUUCAAAAUUGAAGUUUUCCAAGUUUCAGGAUCCGGACACUGGUUGCAACGUCCAGACCCCGUAUGCCUUCCUGGCUAGUAUACACAAGGAGUAUCCGGACCUUGAGGGCAAGAUCCGAAUUUUCAUGUUUUUGAAACUUCAAAGUCUGGACCCUAUGUAGGGUUCGAACUCCAAAGCCGAUGUAGAUUUUUUAAAAUCAAUUUUUCAAUCCUAAUAUGAGUCUAAUUACUUCCAAACCUAUAUAUAAGAUGGAAAAUAUUUUUAAAUUUGUUUUUUCAAUCCUAAUCUAAUUUGGAAUUAAUUUUUUAAUUCUAAUCUGUCACGCCCCGCGACCGCCAAUUUGGUCGGUUCGGGUACGUCAAUCAGACGCCGAACAGACAGACCCUUUCCUGCAUGCCCAAGGCUAACAACAACGAGAUCAUGCAUGUAAACAGUUGCCUAGGGAACAAUAACCUCAUACAUGAUCUAAGCAAGAGCUAAUACAAGCAAUCAACAAAAGAGAGAAAACUCUAGCUAUUACAAUUUCAUGCAACAUACACAUCGAGUUUAUAUUUUUCAUCUCCAAAAUGUAUACAUGUUCAUCCAUAACUCCCCAAAAUACAUAUACAUCAUGUCCUCUCAUCUAUACAGGGUGUACUAAUGCAUAAAGAAAGCUGCUAGCUAACUAGGGCGCUAUGCCCUUACUGCGGUCCUCACCCGGUCCGCUCGUACUCGGCCCUGCAACAAAGUGGGGUGAGAACUAUAUAACUAUAGUUCCCAGUGGGUUCGGCCGCCGACUCUACCGAUCUUCCCACUAGGUCUAAGCAGGCAUAAAUAGAUAGAUAGAUAGAUAUGAAAAUGAGCUGCUACAUAGUAACAAAACCUACAACAUGCGACUAUGCCUCAAUAUACAGAAUGAAUGCAUGAACAUAGUAAUGUACUCUACUAACAUGAUACUAUGUUUCAACCUGCAAGAUAUAAAGGAAAUGACUACAUAGUAAUGAAAUCUACUAUCAAGUACUAUAUCUAAUGUCCAAUCUCAUCUCGGCUAACUAAAAGGUUGCGCCCAAACUCACAUCUCAAAUCUCGCGGUGAGUAGACUCUGCGCUACGCCCACCUGAGACCGCCUGCGGGACAACUACGUCUGUCCCAACGCGACAUCUACUCCGGAGCUCACUACUUGGGGUGGAGCGACCACGCCAAGGUUACAGAAACUAUGUGAGUACGAUCCAAUCCUCUCACUCGAGGAUAGUUAGUGCCUCUAUUGCACUAGUUCACAUGCUAUUACUUAGGAAAUCAUCUUUUAUCCCUAAGUUCAUAUCAUCAAAUUGUAAGUGUUUCCACUAUACAAGUCCAAAUGCCACUCGUUGGUUUACAUGCUACUACUUAGGAAAUCGUCAUCUAUUCCUAAGUUUAUGUCGUAGUGUUUCUACUACACUAGUCUAAAUGCCACUCUUUGAGUUCAUUUACAUGUCCAAGUUCAUCUUUUGUUCUUUUGGCACUAUAGAAUUCCAUGUCAAGAUCCAAUCCUCAUGUGUCCACUAAAUCAAGUACUCAACUCACUAUAUGAUUUCUACUAUGAAAACAUGUAAGGAAUUAAAGUACAAUUACUUAACAUAAUCUACAAUGCAUGCUAACAAUAUAUGAACAUAUGCUAUAAUAAAAUAACUCGGACAUAGGAGAAAGUUCAACUGCUUCGGGAUGGACACCCCCCACCUUUUGGUGAUGCCACGAAGCUAGACUCCAACUCUCGUAAUUUUCUGCCGCCUAAUUCCCUUGACUGCGGCAAACGAAGCCAAAAACAGGCUUUUCUUUAAUAUCGUCGCGCCGACUUGUCGAAUCGCCAAACCGAGUUCAUCUGUAAUGUACCAGAUUGUAAUAUAAAAUUAAGUGUAAAUAAAAAUAGUAUAAGAUACUAUUUUUAUUGGACUUAAAGAAGUAAAAUGUAAGUCUGGAAUGACUCGUGCUAAAAUCAGAAUAAAAAUAGGAGAUUUAGAAUUUUCUGUGAGACACGGGCUGGUAUUUUUAGCAGAAAAUGCACAGUGACGGAAAAUUUUGAAAAUCUGAAAAUAUGUCAGAAUUAUUUUUUUGAGGCUAGAUUUAAAGUUUCAUAUCAUUCUGACACCCGAAAAGUGAAAAAUAAAAUCCGACUGCUAUCUGCUAGAGAUUACAGUUCGGUAGAGCUUUCGGUGACCAAAAAUUGUCGAAACUGAAAAAUUAAGAUAUAUUCCGUUUAUUUAGCAAAAAUCGAGCCUGACUGUCAAAUUUGAGCGUGAAUGAACAUUCAGAAGAACCGGCGAAAGGUAUCUGAUCCUGAGCUGCUAAACUCCUAGUGUGAAUAGUGUUUUGAGGGUGUUAAUUAUAAAAGAAGCAUUUGCCUUCUUCUUCUCCUGCAACCGAACACACACCCACAGCACAUACACACACACACAUAUGGAGGGAGAGAGAAACCCUCCCUUUCUCUCUCUAAAUAUCUCUCUCAUCUCUCUAAAUCUCUUCCUCAAACUCGCGGCGUUGGCGGAGAGCGAGCUUGUGAACGCGUUGGAAGCAAGGGUUCGAGUCUUCGUGCGCCCGGUUGAGCGACGUGCUUUCGACUCGACGUUCGCAAAUUCGGUAAGUGUUUAGAAUUUGGCUAAAUCCUUAAUUUUUGAUGUUCUAGUAGCCUCUAAUGUUAUGUUAGCACGUUUUCUCCAUUUAAUUUGGAUUAUUUGGAGCAACUGUAGAGGCUAGGGUUAGAAUAAGGGUAUUGGAAAUUAGAGGGUUUUGAUCUAGUAUAACCUUAUACAAACCAAAUUGUUAGGUUUCCUGAUGCUUUGGUGAAGACGAUUCGGCAAUCCGUCGAGGCUACGCAAAGAUAUUGGGAAAAAGGACCGUUUGGCUUCAUUUCCGCGUGGAGGGCCGAGGCGGCGUCUAAAAAUCAAGAAAUCAGAUUUGUGGCAUCGCGGCAUCUAGAUGAAGCCCUUUAAAAUCCGAGGCCACGGAUUGAUGCACGGUUGGUGAUUAUUUGCAAGAUCGGGCUGAACCGGACUACGAGUGCCGCGGAAGGCCGAUUACAAGUGUCGACAAGCAAUCGGAGAGCGUUACGAUGUGGAUUGUGCUCACCAAAGUGUUUAGCUCGCUUCCAUGUCGAAGCGAAGUGAUAUUUAUUAUUGAUGCAUAUAAUGAUAGUUGGCUAUAGAACAUAUGAAUGCGUAAGUCGAAUGCUAUGUUAGGCUACCAUUGAGUACAUGAUGAUGUAUUGUAAAAAUACUAGAUGGAAUGCAUGAUUACAUAAUGCUAAAUGAAUGCAUGAUGACAUAUAUGAAUUAUGUUAGAAGAAUUAUGCAUGUUGACAUAUAUGAAUUGUGUUAGAAGAACUAUGCAUGUUGACAUAUAUGGAUUAUGUUAGAUAAAUAUGCAUGUUGACGUAUCUUGAGAUGCUAGAUGAACUAUGCAUGUUGACAUAUACGGAUUAUGUUAGAAAAACUAUGCAUAUUGGACUUGGGUCGAUAACUCUAGGUGGAUUAGAGAAUUCGGCAUUAAAAAACAAGAACAUGAAAGCUAUGAUACUCGAUGUAGACUAGUAGAUUGUCAAGUAGAUCGAGUGGCAUUUGGAUUAGUGUAGUAGAGACACUAUGACGUGAACAUAGGGAUAGAUGAUUUUCCGAGUCGUGGAUAUGUGCCACGUGAAACUAGUGUAGUACAGACACUUGUGACAUUAUUGUUGGAUUAGUGGAUUUCCCGUGUCGUUGUUAAACCUAGUAGACAGGGUAUCCUCGAGUGAGAGGAUUGGAUUAUACUCACUUAAUCUGUUUUUACUUCGCGUGGUCGCUCCACCCAAGCAGUGGUCUCCGGAGUACUUCACGAUAGGGACAGAUGUAGUUGUCCCGGGGCAGACGUAGUUGUCCCGCAGACGGUCUCGGUGUGCAAGUGCAGUUUUUCCUCACCUAUGAGAUUUUCAGAGUGAGUCGGGGCUUAACCUUUUGGUUAGCCAGUGAAAUUGGGUGACAUUCUUGUGAGCUAUGGAUGAAUCCCAGCAGAGUGGAUUGGCAUCCUAGUUGGCAUCCCAGUUGAGUGGACUUAAGGCUAAGGUGCAAGUGAGAUAUCCUUCACCUUGAGCCUGGCUUUGCGCGGUAUUUCGUGGAUGAUUGACUCAAGACCGAGUCGAGUGGAUAGCUUUGGAAAGGUAGAUGAAACCUUAUGAGCAAAUUGUAAUUGACAUGAAUCUAAGAUAAAGGAAAACUUAGAUGUCAUUUGGAUAAGCUAUGGAUAGCGAGUAGAAUUAGUAGAUAUACUUACCUCAUUGCAUAUUGAGUUGCAUGAUUAGCAUUGUUGCAUGUUGCGAGGCAUGAACAUAAUAAAUAUUAGUUCCAUAAAAUAUUUGAUGAAAUAUAUCUAUCUGUGGAUACUUGUUGGACUAACAUGUUGCAGUGCCUCCUUCGGACCUAGCGGGUCGAGCUUUUCCCUUGGGUGGUCGUACCCACUGGAAACUAUGGACAAUAGUUCUCACCCCCGUGUUGUUUUUGGGGGUACAGGUUCACACGUGAGCGGCGCGGCGGCGCGAGGACAAGGCAUAGUUUCGUAGAUAGCGCCCUACCACUGAGACCAGGGAUAGCGGUACCCCGAGUCAGCCUACCUAGGGGUGUAGAAAAGAGAAAGAAAGCAUUAUUUGUGUAAUCUUAAUUGUAUUUGGAAGAAAAGAAAAUAAAAAUGUAAUAUGUAAAAAGCAUGUGAUGUGAAUGCUUGUAAUAGCUUAGUUGUUUAUGUUGUUUGAUACCUUCCUUAUGCAAUCGUUGUAUGAAUACUGUUCCUGUUUGGAACCUCUUGUAUUGUAUUGUUUGCGACGCCUAGGACGUAAAGGGAAAACUCUGUCAGUUCGGCGGUCUGUUGACGACCCGAAUCCUACCAAAUAAGCGGGUCACAGGGCGUGACAUCACCAACCCGUUCGAUUACCUAGCAGAUAGGUAUAAAAGAGAUCAAUCCCAACUUUAGAUCUCAAUUUAACAAAACCUUUUUUCGGAACCCUAGAUGUUCAACUUUGCAAGAAUACGCCAUAAAGAUCGUCGAUUCAAGCAAAUAACAUCUAUUUAGCAUCAAAGGGUUCUACUAAAACCAAUUCUAGAGUUUAAAACUCAAACCCUAGAAAUCUACCAUUGAAGCUCCAAGAGCUUACCUCUCCACAACUCCUCAAAGCCAAGGGAGAAGAUGACGAAGAUGAAAUUCCACUUCAUUGCUUCAAUCUCCACCAAUCCCUCAACUUGCUUCCACACAUGGGAGAGCUUCUAGAGAGAGAAAGGGAGAAAAAAGAUGAAAAAAUGAGUGUUCUCUGGCUGUGAACACAAGAGAGGGUGAUGGGGUUUAUUUAUAGGCUGCCAUAAUUGCAAUAAAACCCCUCAACAAUUGCUAUUUGCAACAAACCGAAAUCUGCUGUUUUCAGUACCUGGUACCGGUAUGCCUUGAUUAAUCACCGGUUAACCAGCUUCGCAGAGGCCAAACCCAAGAGUUGCUGCUCUCGGGUUGCUACGGGAUACCGAUACUACAUGAUUUAGUCACCGGUUAACAAUGCUCCAGAAUAUAGUUUUGCAUUGUUUCGACUCUAUUUCGCGCGCCGAGCAAUGCUAAAACCUUUCUAACUCACUUGGAGUUCAACUUUAACCCAUCCAACAUUAUUGGAAUGUCAUAUGGAACAUGUCCAAACAUCUCUCUCGCCACGCUUUGGUCCUUUUGACCAAAAGUGGUUUAAUAGGACGGGGAAAUCAAUAUCUUACAUAAUCUGAUUUAAAAAUAGUUUUUCAAUCCCAAUCUGAUUUUAAUUACUUCUAAGUCUAUAGAUAAGAUGUGGGGGUGUCUCUAAAAUAUGGUUAAGCAUAUUUUAUCUUUUAGAAAUCCUAGAAGCUUAUAGAUAGCCGUCUUUCUCAUAUUCUACAAUAAGCUUAUCUCAAAUUGAUUCUUGGUGUCCUAAAUCUUUAAUGCUCUUCUAGAAUCAAUUUGAGAUUUACUUAGAGACAUCUUCUAUGGUUCUUUCAUGAUCAUCUAAGCAAAAAAUCAUCACCAACGUUCUUUAUCUUGCUCCGACGGAGUGGCGUCGUGGAUUCGACGUGAUCAAGACGAUUUUUAUGGUUAGAGAUUUACUUAGAGACAUCUUCUAUGGUUCUUUCAUGAUCAUCUGAGCAAUAAAUCAUCACCAACGUUAUUUGUCUUGCUCCGGACGGAGUGGCAUCGUGGAUUCGACGUGAUCAAGACGAUUUUUAGAUUCGGAUCGUCGGUG